Molecule: ribosomal RNA, 497 nt
Filed under: uncultured bacterium
Lineage: Bacteria
Description: partial 16S ribosomal RNA
Rfam family: Bacterial small subunit ribosomal RNA
Source: RNAcentral
GAUGAACGCUGGCGGCGUGCCUAAUACAUGCAAGUCGAGCGAACAGACGAGGAGCUUGCUCCUCUGACGUUAGCGGCGGACGGGUGAGUAACACGUGUAUAACCUACCUAUAAGACUGGUAUAACUUCGGGAAACCGGAGCUAAUACCGGAUAAUAUAUUGAACCGCAUGGUUCAAUAGUGAAAGACGGUUUUGCUGUCACUUAUAGAUGGAUCCGCGCCGCAUUGGCUAGUUGGUAAGGUAACGGCUUAUCAAGGCAACGAUGCGUAGCCGACCUGAUAGGGUGAUAGGCGACACUGGAACUGGGACGCGGUCCAGACUCCUACGGGAGGCCGCAGUAGCGUAUGUGCCGCAAUGGGCGGGAGCAUGACGGAGCGACGCCGCGUGAGUGACGAAGGUCUUCGGAUCGUAAAACUCUGUUAUUAGUGAAGAACAAAUGUGUAAGUAACUAAGCACGUAUUGACGGUACCUAGUCAGAAAGCCACGGCUAACUACGUG